AAUGCGUUGAACAAUUCCCAGCCGGAAGGAAUGGCUAUAAUCACCAGUGGGCGAGCGUAUAACGGGAAUGUAAUCUCUCAGCCCCGUUAGACGAGGCAGUUGGCACAAACGACCAAGAAUUGGUCGACCAAACCGUCUGUCUGUUCCCUUUCAGACCGUUGUUGAUUACCAAAUCCUACAGCCCUGUCAUCGAUUCAUUGCGGAUCGUCUAAUUUCCUCUCUUCCUCCAAAUCCUUUGCUUUCGAUUCCUUUCCUAUACUCAUCCAAUAGCCUCCUCGACAAGCUAGGGUUAGGGCGAGUCGCCAGUUAACCUCCGCAGAAUUUUUCCGUUUACGUAAGAAAUAAUUUGAUGAAUCCAUCGCUGUCCAAGUUCUCAAUUUUGGCCUUGUUAUGUCUUGCUGUUGCCAUUUUUGUUCUCUGCUUGCCGAUCGCGCAAUCCAAGCCUGAAGAUGGAGUCGUGAUUCAGCAAAUCACUAGCAAAGAGGGCGGCGGCGGCGGCGGGUGCGCUGGAGUCACCGCUCCAGCGUCAUGUCCAAUCAAUUGCUUCCGCGUCGACCCCGUCUGCGGUGUCGAUGGAGUGACAUACUGGUGUGGGUGUGCUGAUGCUUUGUGCGCUGGUACUCCGGUCGCUAAAUUAGGGGCUUGUGAGCUGGACAAUGGUGGCAACGGUUCUCUUCCUCGUCAGGCGCUUCUUUUGGUCCAUAUUCUCUGGCUGAUAUUACUCGGUUUUUCUUUGCUAUUUGGUCUUUUCUAAUUUGAAAGAAGCAAAAUUUAUCUUUCCUUUUAUUCUUUUGCUGCUGUUGUAUGAGGCCGGUUUGGCAUAGUUAGACAUUGUGCGAGAGAUUUCUUUCAUGUAUGUGUAGUAGAAAUUCUUGAAUUAAUAACAACUGCAAUAUGAUUCUUUGCAUUCUUUCCCUUGGUUUCAUCACUCUGCUGGAAUAAUAUAAAUUGAAAGUCUGUUGCGGCAGAUGUGUCAUUUCAACCAUUACACCUGUUGCAACUCAAUAAGUUUUCCAUGACAAUAAGACUUUGGGUUGGUGCGAUAAAUAAUGCAUAUGGGCAAUUUAUUUAUUGAACAGCAGCUUUAUGUUCUUAUUAAUCUUUAUGCCUUAAUCCUUAGAGUGGAGAUUUUGCCCUAAGAUUUAUGUGCCUAGCUUUAUCUUGCACUUGCAAUCCCAGGGUUAACUAAAACAUACAAGAUACAACAUUCUGAUUGUAACAUCUCCGUGAAGAAGACAAGUGCAAAGCUUAAAUGAAUCAGGUAAUGAGCUAUUUCUUACAUGUACCUUAUUGAAACACAAAUAAUUUAGCUUCAACCCCUGAUUGUUCUUUUGCCAAAUUAGAUUCUUAACAAAUUCCAUUCUUACCUAAAAAAAGAAGGGGAGUAGUUUUAGUACAUUUUGAUCAAUAGUAGGCUAGGGCUUCAAAAUUAGUUGAAUGCAUUUUCUUGAUGUUAUGUUUCUACUGAAUGAUAAUAUUGAAAUUCAUGAUAUUGGAAGUUCUGGCAGAUCUUCCUUCAAACCCAGAACACAAGAACCAUACCAUCUCUAAGCACUCCACGCAUCUGCAUGCAAUUAAACCAGAUGACACAUAAUAGGACUUUUAGUGUUAAUCAGUGCAUACAUGGCUAGCAAUUGUCAUCUGGUUUUUUAAUCUGUCCCAUUAGUUCUUCUGGUUAACAACAGCACCAGAAUUUGCUGGGAAACAUUCAAGAUGGCACCUUAUGUAAUGCAUUCUGGGUUAAAAAUUUAAGGUCAUUUCCUAUAGGAAUAUAUUCCUGGAACACUGUCUGGUAAUUCUUCAACCAACCUAAUAAGCAAAUUUACCUCAAAAGGAAUCAUAUUUUUU
Molecule: unclassified non-coding RNA, 1848 nt
Filed under: Hevea brasiliensis (rubber tree)
Lineage: Eukaryota; Viridiplantae; Streptophyta; Magnoliopsida; Malpighiales; Euphorbiaceae
Source: RNAcentral